AUAGAGAGCUUGCUCUCUGAUGGCGAGUGGCGAACGGGUGAGUAAUAUAUCGGAACGUGCCCAGUAAUGGGGAAUAACUAGCCGAAAGGUUAGCUAAUACCGCAUACGACCUACGGGUGAAAGCAGGGGAUCUUAGGACCUUGCGUUAUUGGAGCGGUCGAUAUCUGAUUAGCUUGUUGGUGGGGUAAAAGCCUACCAAGGCAACGAUCAGUAGCUGGUCUGAGAGGACGAUCAGCCACACUGGAACUGAGACACGGUCCAGACUCCUACGGGAGGCAGCAGUGGGGAAUUUUGGACAAUGGGGGAAACCCUGAUCCAGCCAUCCCGCGUGAGUGAAGAAGGCCUUCGGGUUGUAAAGCACUUUCAAUAGGGAGGAAAGGUUAUGCGUUAAUACCGUAUAGCUGUGACGUCACCUAUAGAAGAAGCACCGGCUAACUCCGUGCCAGCAGCCGCGGUAAUACGGAGGGUGCAAGCGUUAAUCGGAAUUACUGGGCGUAAAGCGCGCGUAGGCGGUUAUUUAAGUCAGAUGUGAAAGCCCCGGGCUCAACCUGGGAAUUGCAUUUGAUACUGGAUAGCUAGAGUGUGGUAGAGGUGAGUGGAAUUUCAGGUGUAGCGGUGAAAUGCGUAGAGAUCUGAAGGAACAUCAGUGGCGAAGGCGACUCACUGGGCCAUUACUGACGCUGA
RNAcentral lists this ribosomal RNA (684 nucleotides) under uncultured Thiotrichales bacterium. RNAcentral describes it as "bacterial SSU rRNA". It matches the Rfam family "Bacterial small subunit ribosomal RNA", at positions 71 to 749 of the family's 1533-position model. Lineage: Bacteria; Pseudomonadati; Pseudomonadota; Gammaproteobacteria; Thiotrichales. The record is from RNAcentral.